UGCGACUUGGUGUAACGCUAACAUGCCGGCCUCAUAAACCGGAGAAUACAAGUUCGAGUCUUGUGGUCGCAA
This 72-nucleotide transfer RNA is filed under the name Ferruginibacter sp. RNAcentral describes it as "tRNA-Met". It matches the Rfam family "tRNA". Rfam says of the family: Transfer RNA (tRNA) molecules are approximately 80 nucleotides in length. Lineage: Bacteria; Pseudomonadati; Bacteroidota; Chitinophagia; Chitinophagales; Chitinophagaceae. The record is from RNAcentral.